This 855-nucleotide ribosomal RNA is filed under the name Alteromonadales bacterium HOT3F5. Its description in RNAcentral is "bacterial SSU rRNA". It matches the Rfam family "Bacterial small subunit ribosomal RNA", at positions 92 to 946 of the family's 1533-position model. Lineage: Bacteria; Pseudomonadati; Pseudomonadota; Gammaproteobacteria; Alteromonadales. The record is from RNAcentral.
CGAGUGGCGGACGGGUGAGUAAUGCUUGGGAACUUGCCUUUGCGAGGGGGAUAACAGUUGGAAACGACUGCUAAUACCGCAUAAUGUCUUCGGACCAAACGGGGCUUCGGCUCCGGCGCAAAGAGAGGCCCAAGUGAGAUUAGCUAGUUGGUAAGGUAACGGCUUACCAAGGCGACGAUCUCUAGCUGUUCUGAGAGGAAGAUCAGCCACACUGGGACUGAGACACGGCCCAGACUCCUACGGGAGGCAGCAGUGGGGAAUAUUGCACAAUGGGGGAAACCCUGAUGCAGCCAUGCCGCGUGUGUGAAGAAGGCCUUCGGGUUGUAAAGCACUUUCAGUUGUGAGGAAAAGUUAGUAGUUAAUACCUGCUAGCCGUGACGUUAACAACAGAAGAAGCACCGGCUAACUCCGUGCCAGCAGCCGCGGUAAUACGGAGGGUGCGAGCGUUAAUCGGAAUUACUGGGCGUAAAGCGCACGCAGGCGGUUUGUUAAGCUAGAUGUGAAAGCCCCGGGCUCAACCUGGGAUGGUCAUUUAGAACUGGCAGACUAGAGUCUUGGAGAGGGGAGUGGAAUUCCAGGUGUAGCGGUGAAAUGCGUAGAUAUCUGGAGGAACAUCAGUGGCGAAGGCGACUCCCUGGCCAAAGACUGACGCUCAUGUGCGAAAGUGUGGGUAGCGAACAGGAUUAGAUACCCUGGGUAGUCCACACCGUAAACGCUGUCUACUAGCUGUGUGUGCCUUUAAGACGUGCGUAGCGAAGCUAACGCGCUAAGUAGACCGCCUGGGGGAGUACGGCCGCAAGGUUAAAACUCAAAUGAAUUGACGGGGGGCCCGCACAAGCGGUGGAGCAUGUGGGU